RNAcentral lists this ribosomal RNA (429 nucleotides) under Chloroflexota bacterium. RNAcentral's name for it is "Chloroflexi bacterium partial 16S ribosomal RNA". It matches the Rfam family "Bacterial small subunit ribosomal RNA", at positions 355 to 776 of the family's 1533-position model. The record is from RNAcentral. Lineage: Bacteria; Bacillati; Chloroflexota.
UGGGGAAUAUUGCACAAUGGGCGCAAGCCUGAUGCAGCCAUGCCGCGUGUAUGAAGAAGGCCUUCGGGUUGUAAAGUACUUUCAGCGGGGAGGAAGGGAGUAAAGUUAAUACCUUUGCUCAUUGACGUUACCCGCAGAAGAAGCACCGGCUAACUCCGUGCAAGCAGCCGCGGUAAUACGGAGGGUGCAAGCGUUAAUCGGAAUUACUGGGCGUAAAGCGCACGCAGGCGGUUUCUUAAGUCUGAUGUGAAAGCCCCCGGCUCAACCGGGGAGGGUCAUUGGAAACUGGGAGACUUGAGUGCAGAAGAGGAGAGUGGAAUUCCAUGUGUAGCGGUGAAAUGCGUAGAUAUAUGGAGGAACACCAGUGGCGAAGGCGGCUCUCUGGUCUGUAACUGACGCUGAGGCUCGAAAGCGUGGGGAGCAAACAGG